GUCCACCAUGAUGGCGCGGUGCUCGGUCCCCGCGAAGAGCGGCGCACACUUGGUGAUGAGCGGCAGCACCGCCAGGCACAGAAAAACUGGAUCAUUUAUCCACGGAGUUUCCCAUACUUUGGUCUGGGCUGGUCACGUCCACUCACUGUCUCCAAUGCCUCACCUGCCAGACCCUCGUCAACCCUCGCCAGUAAGGCUUUCACCCCACCGCCUCACUGAAAGUGCUCAUCGAGGUCACCAGUGACCUCCAUUUGGCCACACCAGUGGUCAGUUCUCAGUCUUCAUCUUACUCGGCUUUGUCCCCUACUAUUCUCUAACGAUAUAACUAUUAAAUAUCUAUAUAACUAUUA
Molecule: long non-coding RNA, 350 nt
Organism: Neofelis nebulosa (Clouded leopard)
Lineage: Eukaryota; Metazoa; Chordata; Mammalia; Carnivora; Felidae
Exons: 2
Source: RefSeq, a predicted model, not a curated record